CACGCUUUGUCCCGGGUGAAGGUGACUCCGUGUUUGCUCGCACGUCCCCGGGUGAGCCUUUAAUCUGCCUGUAAGAACACACUUUCAGGAAACAAGAAAAUGCCACCAGCCAAACGGAGACGUGGGGGGCUGAGACGGCGGCUGUUCCAGAUAGAGAUGCGAGAUGGAUUCAUAUAUAUUCAUGAAUUCAGUCAGAAAAGUCAAACGGAAGCAGUAUGAUAAUCUUGCAGUAAUUGCAUUUUUCCCUCCAACUGUUUUUGGCAGAGCAGAGAGCCACGUUCAGACACGCGGGAUGGGGAAUACAGUCUCGAGGAGCCGUGAACAGUGGAUACCCUCUGACCCCCGUACCUAAGAUUCAUUUGAUGUCCUGACCUCUGACUGAAGAACUUUUUAAUUUUCUGACUGUGCACUCUUUCUCUUCCGGGCCCCAGGAAAUGCCUUACAAAAAAAAAAAAAAAAAAGAAACAUUCAAAGGACCAUAUUUCAAACUAUCAAGCUUUUUUUUCUCUCCAUACAUGUCAGUCUGCUGUCAGCAGCCGUCUGAAAAGUGCUGACAUUGCUGCCCUCCUGUCCGGCAGCCCGCUCCCUCUGUGUGAACUUGGAUUUAGCUCAAGGGUAUAGCCACCCUGCUAAUGUGAUGUAGCUCCGAGAAGGAAACAAAUUGGCCUGACGUCUCAUACGCUGCCUUGUCUUGAUUGUGUGAUGGCUUCUACUGCUAAUGUGUUACGAUGGGUAGACCUGCGCAGGGAGGGAGACGGGUUUGUGUGUGUGUGUGUGUGUGUGUGUGUGUGUUACAUGGAGAGAGAAAGAGAGCGGGAGAGAGGGAGGGAGGUUGGGAGGGAGGGAGGUUGGGGGAAGGGCCUCAGUCUGCAAGAUCAGCACAAGUGGAAUUGCAUUGAUUCAGUUAACUGCAG
This is a long non-coding RNA of Gasterosteus aculeatus aculeatus (three-spined stickleback), 914 nucleotides long. The record is from Ensembl. Lineage: Eukaryota; Metazoa; Chordata; Actinopteri; Perciformes; Gasterosteidae.